UGCUUUUCAUUUUUAUUUUUUUUUUAUUUGUUCAUUGUUUUUAUUAAUACAUGGUGUA
Molecule: non-coding RNA, 58 nt
Filed under: uncultured Vexilliferidae
Lineage: Eukaryota; Discosea; Flabellinia; Dactylopodida; Vexilliferidae
Source: RNAcentral